GAUGAACGCUGGCGGCGUGCCUAAUACAUGCAAGUCGAGCGAACAGACGAGGAGCUUGCUCCUUUGACGUUAGCGGCGGACGGGUGAGUAACACGUGGGUAACCUACCUAUAAGACUGGGAUAACUUCGGGAAACCGGAGCUAAUACCGGAUAAUAUUUCGAACCGCAUGGUUCGAUAGUGAAAGAUGGCUUUGCUCUCACUUAUAGAUGGACCUGCGCCGUAUUAGCUAGUUGGUAAGGUAACGGCUUACCAAGGCAACGAUACGUAGCCGACCUGAGAGGGUGAUCGGCCACACUGGAACUGAGACACGGUCCAGACUCCUACGGGAGGCAGCAGUAGGGAAUCUUCCGCAAUGGGCGAAAGCCUGACGGAGCAACGCCGCGUGAGUGAUGAAGGUCUUCGGAUCGUAAAACUCUGUUAUUAGGGAAGAACAAACGUGUAAGUAACUGUGCACGUCUUGACGGUACCUAAUCAGAAAGCCACGGCUAACUACGUG
This 497-nucleotide ribosomal RNA is filed under the name uncultured bacterium. Its description in RNAcentral is "partial 16S ribosomal RNA". It matches the Rfam family "Bacterial small subunit ribosomal RNA", at positions 28 to 507 of the family's 1533-position model. The record is from RNAcentral.